GGAGUGCACGAGAGUUUUCCGCAUUUCUAGUGGUGUUUAAUUGUGUGCGUGCAUCUAAAAAACCACACAAACACCCACAUGUUUGUACAUGCUAGUGGAAAUAAAUCUUCUGUGAAUCAAGAAGCAUCUUCAUUGCGUUUUGACCGGACGUACCACAGUGAUUAAUUCAACCCGAACCACAUUAUUUCAUUAGGUCUUACAUGCUGAUGGUGUGCAAGAACGUAGCGCGCAUCUAACUCCAAUCUGUGCUGAAGUUGCUGGCAAAGGUCUGACAACUGUAGGCUCCUGUGAGGUGGAGAUCUCACAACCCACACCGGCCUUCCAUCAGCAAUGGCAUCCUCCUCAUCAGACAUCAGUUCCAGCGUUGCUGUCUGCCACAGUUCUCUCUCUGUAUCUGUUUGAAUGACCCUGGACCUGGACUCCAGCAACUGCAAAAAUACAUCACAAGUUAACCUCUAAAAACACCCAGAGAUGUACCAAACUUAAUACAGAGAUGAAUUUCUACA
Cyprinus carpio (common carp) is the source of this 506-nucleotide long non-coding RNA. RefSeq lists it as uncharacterized. The record is from RefSeq and is a predicted model, not a curated record. NCBI's taxonomy places the organism in Eukaryota, Metazoa, Chordata, Actinopteri, Cypriniformes, Cyprinidae. The transcript is spliced from 3 exons.